GUUAAAAAGCUCGUAGUUGGAUUUGUGGUGGGCCCGGUGGCUCGGCCUUAGUUGGCCGUUGCUGUUUUGGGUCCGCCAUCCUUGGGUGGAAUCAGUGUGGCAUUAAGUUGUCGCGCUGGGGAUGCCCAUCGUUUACUGUGAAAAAAUUAGAGUGUUCAAAGCAGGCUUACGCCGUUGAAUACAUUAGCAUGGAAUAAUAAGAUAGGACCUUGGUCUAUUUUGUUGGUUAGUACUCCAAGGUAAUGAUUAAUAGGGACAGU
RNAcentral lists this ribosomal RNA (260 nucleotides) under uncultured Stichotrichia. RNAcentral's name for it is "partial Eukaryotic small subunit ribosomal RNA". It matches the Rfam family "Eukaryotic small subunit ribosomal RNA", at positions 618 to 882 of the family's 1831-position model. Lineage: Eukaryota; Ciliophora; Spirotrichea. The record is from RNAcentral.